Molecule: long non-coding RNA, 242 nt
Organism: Apis mellifera (honey bee)
Lineage: Eukaryota; Metazoa; Arthropoda; Insecta; Hymenoptera; Apidae
Exons: 2
Source: RefSeq, a predicted model, not a curated record
UUCAAAUAUUUGUCAUUUUAAUGUUAUUUAUCCGUUUUUAAUGUUUUAAUGUGUGUGAUAGUUGUGAUAUUAGCAAUUUUGAAAGGAUUCUGAAGAAAAAAUUGCUGUAUUAAGGUGCAAGGAUUCUGAUAUUGGAGCGAACAAAAAGGAGAUGUGUUAUCUGUUCGAAAUCCAGUGAUUUGCACAUAACGAUGUAUAUUUUUUCACGAAAUGUAUAUUAUAAUAUACUUUCUUGGAUCGUA